UGUUCCACAGUGGCAACUCAUUUCAUUCUGCUGCAGUCUCUGAUCUUGAUUUUAACAUUCCGUUUUUCAGCUGUUGAAGAAGUCACAGAUCUCACAGAUAGAUCUUCUGAGCCUGAGGUCAGUGACCUAACUGAUGAUAAUUCAGUUGUGCAGUGGCAGCAGAGCCAGCAAUACCCACGUUUUUUCAGAGCAGCAGAUAAUUCAGCAGUGCUACUGAUGAGUGACAAUGAAGAGGAACAAGGAGAUUACGAUGACAUAUGGCCAACAGGCCCUGCAAGUUCUCUGUUUUGGGUGAAUGAGGACUCAGAGGUAAGGAUCCACAUGUUGUCAUCCUUUCUGCUUUGUGGGAGGGGGAACGAGGCAUAGGGAGACUUGUGCAACUCUUGUCUUAUGUGGGAUGCUAUGGUGUACAUAGAGGGAGAAACCCUUUCCACGAUGGCAGUGGAUUCCUUAUAGUUCUAGCAGUGACUGACAGAUUGCAGAUACUCCAAAUUGCAGAUCUUGUUUGCCUGGUGCCAACGGAGCAGCCAACAGGAAUUCUUUCGUCCCAGUCC
RNAcentral lists this long non-coding RNA (554 nucleotides) under Manacus vitellinus (golden-collared manakin). RNAcentral's name for it is "lncRNA (ENSMVIG00005000439.1)". The record is from RNAcentral. Lineage: Eukaryota; Metazoa; Chordata; Aves; Passeriformes; Pipridae.